GGAUGUGAGAGUGAUCUGGCUGGGAUAUCUGUCACCCCAUUGAUUGCCAGGGUUGAUUCAGCUGAUCUGGCUGGCUAAAAGUGUGUCCCCUUCCUCCCUCACUGCUCCAUGUGUGUCCCUCCCAAAGCUGUGUGUUCCCUGAAUAGCGAUGGACCAGUCUUCGGUCAAGGGUAUAUGAAUAGCUGCACACCCCUGCUGGAACUUCCAAACAAGCUCUCGGGUGUGAUCCCUAAGACAUCAACAUCAGAAAUCCCUGGAGAAUUUC
RNAcentral lists this small nuclear RNA (265 nucleotides) under Erinaceus europaeus (western European hedgehog). RNAcentral's name for it is "7SK RNA". It matches the Rfam family "7SK RNA", at positions 1 to 258 of the family's 331-position model. From Rfam's summary of the family: 7SK was discovered as an abundant small nuclear RNA in the mid-70s but a possible function has only recently been suggested. The record is from Rfam by way of RNAcentral. Lineage: Eukaryota; Metazoa; Chordata; Mammalia; Eulipotyphla; Erinaceidae.